GGAUUAGAUACCCUGGUAGUCCACGCCGUAAACGAUGUCUACUAGCCGUUGGGGAUUUAUUUCUUUAGUGGCGCAGCUAACGCGAUAAGUAGACCGCCUGGGGAGUACGGCCGCAAGGUUAAAACUCAAAUGAAUUGACGGGGGCCCGCACAAGCGGUGGAGCAUGUGGUUUAAUUCGAUGCAACGCGAAGAACCUUACCUACACUUGACAUGCAGAGAACUUAGCAGAGAUGCUUUGGUGCCUUCGGGAACUCUGACACAGGUGCUGCAUGGCUGUCGUCAGCUCGUGCUG
This 292-nucleotide ribosomal RNA is filed under the name uncultured bacterium. RNAcentral's name for it is "partial 16S ribosomal RNA". It matches the Rfam family "Bacterial small subunit ribosomal RNA", at positions 775 to 1067 of the family's 1533-position model. The record is from RNAcentral.